This 254-nucleotide ribosomal RNA is filed under the name uncultured microorganism. RNAcentral's name for it is "partial 16S ribosomal RNA". It matches the Rfam family "Archaeal small subunit ribosomal RNA", at positions 474 to 727 of the family's 1478-position model. The record is from RNAcentral.
CACCGGCGGCUCGAGUGGUGGCCACUUUUAUUGGGUCUAAAGCGUCCGUAGCCGGCUUGGCAAGUCCCCUGGGAAAUCUGGCGGCUUAACCGUCAGGCGUCCAGUGGAUACUGCCAGGCUUGGGACCGGGAGAGGUGAGAGGUACCUCAGGGGUAGGGGUGAAAUCGUGUGAUCCCUGAGGGACCACCAGUGGCGAAGGCGUCUCACUAGAACGGGUCCGACGGUCAGGGACGAAAGCUGGGGGCACGAACCGG